RNAcentral lists this ribosomal RNA (253 nucleotides) under uncultured bacterium. RNAcentral describes it as "partial 16S ribosomal RNA". It matches the Rfam family "Bacterial small subunit ribosomal RNA", at positions 524 to 776 of the family's 1533-position model. The record is from RNAcentral.
UACAGAGGAUGCAAGCGUUAUCCGGAAUGAUUGGGCGUAAAGCGUGUGUAGGCGGGCGGUCAAGUACCUUGUGAAAUCCCACGGCUCAACCGUGGAACUGCUGGGUAUACUGGUUGUCUUGAGCCAGCUAGGGGCGAGCGGAACAGACGGUGGAGCGGUGAAAUGCGUAGAUAUCGUCUGGAACGCCGAAGGUGAAAACAGCUCGCUGGGGCUGCGCUGACGCUGAGACACGAAAGCCAGGGGAGCGAACGGG